RNAcentral lists this ribosomal RNA (374 nucleotides) under Peramphithoe femorata. Its description in RNAcentral is "partial large subunit ribosomal RNA". Lineage: Eukaryota; Metazoa; Arthropoda; Malacostraca; Amphipoda; Ampithoidae. The record is from RNAcentral.
UUGAGUACUGGAAUGAAUGAUUACACAUUUAAAAUUUUUCUUAAAUUUUUAAAAAUUAUAAUUUAGAGUUAAAGUAAAAAUACUUUAAUAUAUUAAAAAGACGAUAAGACCCUAAAAGCUUUAAAUUAUUUUAAUUUAUAAAUGAUACAAAAUUAAAUUUAAUUUUUUACUGGGGUAGUAAUAUUAUUAAUUUGUUAUUUAAAAAUAUUUAAUUUUAAAUUCCUUAAAAUUAGGWURUAAAUAAGUUACUUUAGGGAUAACAGCGUGAUAGGGUUGAAGAGAACAUAUCUAUARCACUGAUUACGACCUCGAUGUUGAAUUAAUAAAUCUAUUUAAAGCAGUUUUUAAAAAAGAGGGUUUGUUCAACCUUUAAU